RNAcentral lists this ribosomal RNA (429 nucleotides) under Chloroflexota bacterium. RNAcentral describes it as "Chloroflexi bacterium partial 16S ribosomal RNA". It matches the Rfam family "Bacterial small subunit ribosomal RNA", at positions 355 to 776 of the family's 1533-position model. Lineage: Bacteria; Bacillati; Chloroflexota. The record is from RNAcentral.
UGGGGAAUAUUGCACAAUGGGCGCAAGCCUGAUGCAGCCAUGCCGCGUGUAUGAAGAAGGCCUUCGGGUUGUAAAGUACUUUCAGCGGGGAGGAAGGGAGUAAAGUUAAUACCUUUACUCAUUGACGUUACCCGCAGAAGAAGCACCGGCUAACUCCGUGCCAGCAGCCGCGGUAAUACGGAGGGUGCAAGCGUUAAUCGGAAUUACUGGGCGUAAAGCGCACGCAGGCGGUUUGUUAAGUCAGAUGUGAAAUCCCCGGGCUCAACCUGGGAACUGCAUUCGAAACUGGCAGGCUAGAGUCUUGUAGAGGGGGGUAGAAUUCCAGGUGUAGCGGUGAGAUGCGUAGAGAUCUGGAGGAAUACCGGUGGCGAAGGCGGCCCCCUGGACAAAGACUGACGCUCAGGUGCGAAAGCGUGGGGAGCAAACAGG